CCAAAAGAAAGGAUGAGAGGAGAAAGAGAAAAUACCAAGGAAAAGGACAAGAUAGAUGGUACAGCAGAAGAAACUGAGGAAAGAGAGCAAGCCACACCCCGGGGGCGAAAGACUGCCAACAGUCAGGGCCGCCGUAAGGGCCGGAUCACCAGGUCCAUGACAAACGAAGCUGCAGCUGCCAGUGCUGCAGCCGCAGCGGCCACUGAAGAGCCCCCACCACCUCUGCCACCGCCACCAGAACCCAUUUCUACAGAGCCUGUGGAGACCUCUCGAUGGACAGAAGAAGAAAUGGAAGUUGCUAAAAAAGGUCUAGUAGAACAUGGUCGUAACUGGGCAGCAAUUGCUAAAAUGGUGGGAACGAAAAGUGAAGCUCAAUGUAAAAACUUCUAUUUUAACUAUAAAAGGCGACACAAUCUUGACAACCUCUUACAGCAGCAUAAACAGAAAACUUCACGAAAACCUCGUGAAGAGCGAGAUGUGUCUCAAUGUGAAAGUGUCGCUUCCACUGUUUCUGCUCAGGAGGAUGAAGAUAUUGAAGCCUCCAAUGAAGAAGAAAAUCCAGAAGACAGCGAAGUUGAAGCUGUCAAGCCCAGCGAGGACAGUCCUGAAAAUGC
This 614-nucleotide small RNA is filed under the name Pongo abelii (Sumatran orangutan). RNAcentral describes it as "processed transcript". The record is from RNAcentral. Lineage: Eukaryota; Metazoa; Chordata; Mammalia; Primates; Hominidae.